CGUAGGGUGCGAGCGUUAAUCGGAAUUACUGGGCGUAAAGCGUGCGCAGGCGGUUUGUUAAGAUAGGCGUGAAAUCCCCGGGCUCAACCAGGGAACUGCGCUUAUGACUGGCAAGCUAGAGUACGGCAGAGGGGGUGGAAUUCCACGUGUAGCAGUGAAAUGCGUAGAGAUGUGGAGGAACACCAAUGGCGAAGGCAGCCCCCUGGGUCGAUACUGACGCUCAUGCACGAAAGCGUGGGUAGCAAACAGGAUUAGAUACCCUGGUAGUCCACGCCCUAAACGAUGUCAACUAGGUGUUGGGAGGGUAAAACCUUUUAGUACCGGAGCUAACGCGUGAAGUUGACCGCCUGGGGAGUACGGCCGCAAGGUUA
This 371-nucleotide ribosomal RNA is filed under the name uncultured organism. RNAcentral describes it as "bacterial SSU rRNA". It matches the Rfam family "Bacterial small subunit ribosomal RNA", at positions 526 to 896 of the family's 1533-position model. The record is from RNAcentral.